CGGCGUGCCUAAUACAUGCAAGUAGAACGCUGAAGAGAGGAGCUUGCUCUUCUUGGAUGAGUUGCGAACGGGUGAGUAACGCGUAGGUAACCUGCCUGGUAGCGGGGGAUAACUAUUGGAAACGAUAGCUAAUACCGCAUAAAAUUGAUUAUUGCAUGAUAAUUAAUUGAAAGAUGCAAUUGCAUCACUACCAGAUGGACCUGCGUUGUAUUAGCUAGUUGGUGAGGUAACGGCUCACCAAGGCGACGAUACAUAGCCGACCUGAGAGGGUGAUCGGCCACACUGGGACUGAGACACGGCCCAGACUCCUACGGGAGGCAGCAGUAGGGAAUCUUCGGCAAUGGGGGGAACCCUGACCGAGCAACGCCGCGUGAGUGAAGAAGGUUUUCGGAUCGUAAAGCUCUGUUGUAAGAGAAGAACGGGUGUGAGAGUGGAAAGUUCACACUGUGACGGUAUCUUACCAGAAAGGGACGGCUAACUACGUGCCAGCAGCCGCGGUAAUACGUAGGUCCCGAGCGUUGUCCGGAUUUAUUGGGCGUAAAGCGAGCGCAGGCGGUUAGAUAAGUCUGAAGUUAAAGGCUGUGGCUUAACCAUAGUAUGCUUUGGAAACUGUUUAACUUGAGUGCAGAAGGGGAGAGUGGAAUUCCAUGUGUAGCGGUGAAAUGCGUAGAUAUAUGGAGGAACACCGGUGGCGAAAGCGGCUCUCUGGUCUGUAACUGACGCUGAGGCUCGAAAGCGUGGGGAGCAAACAGGAUUAGAUACCCUGGUAGUCCACGCCGUAAACGAUGAGUGCUAGGUGUUAGGCCCUUUCCGGGGCUUAGUGCCGCAGCUAACGCAUUAAGCACUCCGCCUGGGGAGUACGACCGCAAGGUUGAAACUCAAAGGAAUUGACGGGGGCCCGCACAAGCGGUGGAGCAUGUGGUUUAAUUCGAAGCAACGCGAAGAACCUUACCAGGUCUUGACAUCCCUCUGACCGCUCUAGAGAUAGAGUUUUCCUUCGGGACAGAGGUGACAGGUGGUGCAUGGUUGUCGUCAGCUCGUGUCGUGAGAUGUUGGGUUAAGUCCCGCAACGAGCACAACCCCUAUUGUUAGUUGCCAUCAUUCAGUUGGGCACUCUAGCGAGACUGCCGGUAAUAAACCGGAGGAAGGUGGGGAUGACGUCAAAUCAUCAUGCCCCUUAUGACCUGGGCUACACACGUGCUACAAUGGCUGGUACAACGAGUCGCAAGCCGGUGACGGCAAGCUAAUCUCUGAAAGCCAGUCUCAGUUCGGAUUGUAGGCUGCAACUCGCCUACAUGAAGUCGGAAUCGCUAGUAAUCGCGGAUCAGCACGCCGCGGUGAAUACGUUCCCGGGCCUUGUACACACCGCCCGUCACACCACGAGAGUUUGUAACACCCGAAGUCGGUGAGGUAACCGCAAGGAGCCAGCCGCCUAAGGUGGGAUAGAUGAUUG
RNAcentral lists this ribosomal RNA (1453 nucleotides) under uncultured organism. RNAcentral describes it as "16S ribosomal RNA". It matches the Rfam family "Bacterial small subunit ribosomal RNA". The record is from RNAcentral.